UACGUAGGGGGCAAGCGUUGUCCGGAUUUAUUGGGCGUAAAGCGCUCGCAGGUGGUCCGAUGCGUCGUGCGUGAAAGACCCCGGCUCAACUGGGGAGGGUCGUGCGAUACGGUCGGACUGGAGGCCAGUAGGGGGAUGCGGAAUUCCUGGUGUAGCGGUGAAAUGCGCAGAUAUCAGGAGGAACACCGGUGGCGAAGGCGGUUCUCUGGGCAUGUCCUGACGCUGAGGAGCGAAAGUGUGGGGAGCGAACAGG
Molecule: ribosomal RNA, 253 nt
Filed under: uncultured bacterium
Lineage: Bacteria
Description: partial 16S ribosomal RNA
Rfam family: Bacterial small subunit ribosomal RNA
Source: RNAcentral